Molecule: transfer RNA, 81 nt
Filed under: endosymbiont of Pachyrhynchus infernalis
Lineage: Bacteria; Pseudomonadati; Pseudomonadota; Gammaproteobacteria
Rfam family: tRNA
About the family: Transfer RNA (tRNA) molecules are approximately 80 nucleotides in length. Their secondary structure includes four short double-helical elements and three loops (D, anti-codon, and T loops). Further hydrogen bonds mediate the characteristic L-shaped molecular structure. tRNAs have two regions of fundamental functional importance: the anti-codon, which is responsible for specific mRNA codon recognition, and the 3' end, to which the tRNAs corresponding amino acid is attached (by aminoacyl-tRNA synthetases). tRNAs cope with the degeneracy of the genetic code in two manners: having more than one tRNA (with a specific anti-codon) for a particular amino acid; and 'wobble' base-pairing, i.e. permitting non-standard base-pairing at the 3rd anti-codon position.
Source: Rfam by way of RNAcentral
GCCCAGGUGGUGGAAUGGUAGACACGAGGGACUUAAAAUCCCUUAGCUUUUGCUGUAUGAGUUCAAAUCUCAUCCUGGGUA